GCAAGGGGAGCGGCAGACGGGUGAGUAACGCGUGGGAAUCUACCCAUCUCUACGGAAUAACGCAUGGAAACGUGUGCUAAUACCGUAUACGUCCUUCGGGAGAAAGAUUUAUCGGAGAUGGAUGAGCCCGCGUUGGAUUAGCUAGUUGGUGGGGUAAAGGCCUACCAAGGCGACGAUCCAUAGCUGGUCUGAGAGGAUGAUCAGCCACACUGGGACUGAGACACGGCCCAGACUCCUACGGGAGGCAGCAGUGGGGAAUAUUGGACAAUGGGCGCAAGCCUGAUCCAGCCAUGCCGCGUGAGUGAUGAAGGCCCUAGGGUUGUAAAGCUCUUUCACCGGUGAAGAUAAUGACGGUAACCGGAGAAGAAGCCCCGGCUAACUUCGUGCCAGCAGCCGCGGUAAUACGAAGGGGGCUAGCGUUGUUCGGAUUUACUGGGCGUAAAGCGCACGUAGGCGGACUAUUAAGUCAGGGGUGAAAUCCCGGGGCUCAACCCCGGAACUGCCUUUGA
Molecule: ribosomal RNA, 509 nt
Filed under: uncultured bacterium
Lineage: Bacteria
Description: bacterial SSU rRNA
Rfam family: Bacterial small subunit ribosomal RNA
Source: RNAcentral